AGAGUUUGAUCAUGGCUCAGGAUGAACGCUGGCGGUGUGGAUAAGGCAUGCAAGUCGAACGAGAAUUUUUAAAUUGGAGAUGAGAUUAUAUCAAGUCAAAGAAUUAUUAAUUUUAGUGGCGAACGGGGUAGUAACGCGUGGGAACUUACCUAGAAGUCUGGAAUAACUAGUCGAAAGAUUAGCUAAUACCGGAUAGACCCUCCGGGGUAAAGAUUUAUCGCUUCUAGAAAGGCCUGCGUAGUAUCAGCUAGUUGGUAAGGUAAUGGCUUACCAAGGCUACGACGCUUAGGGGAGCUGAGAGGCUGACCCCCACCAUUGGAACUGCGACACGGUCCAAACUCCUACGGGAGGCUGCAGUCGAGAAUCUUCCGCAAUGCACGAAAGUGUGACGGAGCGACACCGCGUGAUGGAUGACACCCCUCGGGGCGUAAACAUCUUUUAUGAGGGAGGAAAUUAUUGACGUUACCUCAUGAAUAAGGGGCUCCUAAUCUCGUGCCAGCAGGAGCGGUAAUACGAGAGCCCCAAGCGUUAUCCGGAAUCAUUGGGCGUAAAGGGUGCGUAGGUGGUUUGAUUAGUCUUUUGUUAAAUCUUCGAGCUCAACUCGAAACCAGCAAAGGAAACGGUCAGACUAGAGUAUGUGAGGGGUGUGUGGAACUCAUGGUGUAGGGGUGAAAUCCGUUGAUAUCAUGGGGAACACCAAAAGCGAAGGCAGCACACUGGCACAUUACUGACACUGAUGCACGAAACCCUGGGUAGCGAAUGGGAUUAGAUACCCCAGUAGUCCAGGGCCUAAACGAUGCAGAUUAGCUUUAGGGAGUAUCGACCCUCUCUGAGGCGUAGCAAACGCGUUAAAUCUGCCGCCUGGGAAGUACGAUCGCAAGAUUAAAACUCAAAGGAAUUGACGG
This 905-nucleotide ribosomal RNA is filed under the name uncultured bacterium. RNAcentral's name for it is "bacterial SSU rRNA". It matches the Rfam family "Bacterial small subunit ribosomal RNA", at positions 8 to 916 of the family's 1533-position model. The record is from RNAcentral.